CGCCUGUAAUCCCAGCACUUUGGGAGGCCAAGGUGGGUGGAUCACUUCAGGUCAGGAGUUCAAGACCAGCUUGGCCAACAUGGUGAAACCCCGUCUGUACUAAAAAUACAAAAAAAUUAGCUGGGCACAGUGGCGGGCACUUGUAAUUCCAUCUACUUAGGAGGCUGAGGCAUGAGAAUCGCUUAAAUCUGGUAGGCAGAGGUUGCAGUGAGCCAAGAUCGCACCACAGCACUCCAGCCUGGGCAACAGAGUGAGACCCUGUGUUAAGAAAAGAAAAGAGAAAAGAAGAAAAGAAAAGAAAAAGGAAAAGGAAGGAAGGAAGGAAAGAGAGAAAAGAAGAGAAACAGGUGAAAUGAAUUGGAAUAAUAUAUUUUAUUUAACCCAGCAUAUCCAAAAUCCUAUCAUUUUAACAAGUACAACUACCCUAUUUCCCUCAGAAUGUAGCAUUGCCUCUGGUUUGCUGUGGAUCCUGUAUUGGACCACUCAGCUGUAGAGUCCUGUGGGAUCCAAGCUUCAAGGAGACCCAUCAUGCAUGUUUAGGGCCAGUUCCAGGUGUCCUUGACAUGACACUAAACCUCCAUUUCCUUUGUUUUGGAGACGGAGUCUGGCUCUGUCGCCCAGGUUGGAGUGCCAUGGUACGACCUUGGCUCACUGCAACCUCCGCCUCCCGGAUUAAAGCGAUUCUCCUGCCUCAGCCUCUCAAGUAGCUGGCAUUAUAGGCGUGUGCCACCAUGCCCGGCUAAUUUUUGUAUUUUGUAGUAGAGACAGGGUUUUGCCAUGUUGGCCAGGCUGGUCUUCAACUCCUGACCUCAAGUGAUCCGCCCACCUCGGACUCCCAAAGUGCUGGGAUUACAGGCGUGAGCCACCUCGCCUGGCCCUCCAUUUCCUGAUCUAGUCUUAUAUCCACGCUCACCACCUCAGCACGCUCAGACCCACGCUGCUGUGGGCUCCUCUGGCUCCUGGAAGAGUGCGUCCGCAGAUGCUGCAGUCUUUGUGUGGCUCAGCAAUUGCCACUCACAUCAGGAACUGCCUUUACCCUGUCAGGCUCUACUGAGACCCGACCCUGGUUAUUAAGCUAUAGGGGAGACAAGGAUGGAUCUUAAAGAAGACAAGCAAAAUGUAGUGAAGCAAAUAGAAUGGUGGUUCCUGGGGGAUGGGGGCAGGGGACAACGAGGAGUGACUGGCUAACAGAUACAGCGUUUCAGUUUGGAAAGACAAAAAAGUUCUGGAAAAAAGAUGGAAGGUGGUGAUGGUUGCACAAUAAUAUGAGUUUUGUUGUUGUUGUUUUUUGAGACAGAGUCUCUCUCUGUUGCCCAGGCUGGAGUGCAGGGGCACGAUUUCGGCUCACUGCAACCUCUGCCUCCCGGGUUCAAGCGAUUCUUGUGCCUCAGCCUCCCAAGUAGCUGGGAUUACAGGCACCCACCACCAUGCCCAGCUAAUUUUUGUAUUUUUAGUAAAGAUGAGGUUUCACCAUGUUGGCCAGGCUGGUCUCAAACUCCUGACCUCAAAUGAUUGGCCUGCCUUGGCCUCCCAAAGUGCUGGGAUUACAGGCAUGAGCUAUUGCGCCCGGCAAUAUGAAUGAAUGUUUUUAAUACCAUUGAAUUACACACCUAAAAUUGGUUAAAAUGGUAAAAAAUUUUAUGUUAUGUAUAACUUACCACAAUAAUUUAAAAAAUAUUGUGAAGCGCCUGCCUCAUGUGAGGUCUUCUAAUAAGAGGGGCUGUUCUCCUUCUCAAGAGCGCUCGCGGGCAUUGGGAGUUUCUUAUUCUCAAAUGUCCACAUCCCAAGGCCUACCCCGUCCCUGUCAGUGUCAGAAGUUAGCAGAGCAGAACUGCUAGAUGUGCUCACUCCAUCUCCUCCAUGGUUGGCCCACCCUUUCGAUCAGAUCCUGGAAUUGGCUUUCAGCACAGCCUUCCAGCUGGCUGUGAUAAAUGAGAGUGGCUUAAACCCUGUCAUCAGGGUUUCACAGCUUGCCCUGAACCGUAGCCUCUCAUUUUCUCCUUGCAAAUCUUCUAAGGCAGCUAAGAGAAGCCAAUUAACUUCACAAUCCACAUAAUUAGCAUUGCCCCAAACCUUUCAAGUGCUGGAAUGCUGGCGUCCACUAGUGCCUCAUUUCUUUCUAAACCUCAUUCCACAUGGCAGGGGAAGGUCUUAGGAAUUGUGGAGCUGUGGCGUUCUAAGGGUUCUCACUGCCUACCUAUCACCAGCAAGGGAGUCCUUGUUGCCAUCCAUCCCUAGGGGGUAAUUUUGUUCCCUGAGGCUGCUUUCUAGGGACUUCUGGUCGCUUGUUUUAUCCUGGACCAGACCUGAAAGCAGAGCCUGAAAUAAGGCCUUCUAUGCACAUCAUUUAUGUAGGAGGUGGCCCUAGGAAGCAGGCCCAAUGCGCCAUGGGAAAAACCAGUACCAGGGUGUUUUGCUGAGUUGAGCACUGUGGUGGGCAGCUGGACAUGAGCCCACUGGAAUCUUCUGAAGAGCCCAAGAGCCUCUUCUCAGUAUUGUCCACUUGAGGAUUGAUAGUGAGAGGCAUUUAUCCACUGGUGUCCAACGCUCACUGGUUGAGGAUCACCCCAGAAAGCGACACCUCCCCCACUUCUAGACUAGCAUGUGGGUAUUCCAAGCAGGCUUACCUCAGUGUCUCACCCCAGGCACUGCAAACACCCCAGGACAGAAAGUGAACAUGUGUAUUGUGCAAUUGAAGCAAGACACUAUCAGUGCAAAGUGAGUAGACCCUCAGAUGCUGCUGGGUCAGAGGGAAGGCCCAGGGAUAUGACACAGGACACAGAGGUGGCAGAUACACCACCUCCCAACAUUUCCUCUAUCACAGCAACUAGAACAAUGGCAACAAUAGGGGUGGGUGUGGUGGCUCACGCCUAUAAUCCCAAUACCCUGGGAGGCCAAGGCAGAAGGAUUGCUUGAGCCCAGGAGUUCAAGACUAGCCUGGGCAACUUGGCGAAACCCUGUCUCUACAAACAUAUUUGUAUGUGAUUGAACAAGUAGAACAAUGGAACGGAAAGUCCAGAUGUAGUUCUAAAUAUGUACAGGAACUUAGUAUAGGAUAAAUAUGGCAUCUUAAAUCAAUGGGGAAAAGAUGGAUUAUUCAACAUAUUGUAAAAACUUGAGAAUCACAUUAAAAAAGUUGGACUCCUACCUCAUUCUUUACAACAAAAUUAAUUCUGAUAGAUGUAGUCACAGAAGAGCUAGAAGAAUAUGCAGGGGAUUUAAAAAUAAUCUUGAAGUGGGGAGGACUUUUAUAGGUAUGACUCACAACCCAGAAAACAUAAAGGAUUGUUAAAUUUAAUUAGAUAAAUCAUUUAAUUAGAUGAAACAUUUAAAAAUUACAUUUAGAAAUCAUAAACUAAAUCCAAAGAAUAACUAGGGGCCGGGCGCAGUGGCUCACGUCUGUAAUCCCAUGGGGCAGGUGGAUCACCUGAGGUUGGGAGUUUGAGACCAGCCUGUCCAACACGGUGAAACCCCGUCUCUACUAAAAAUACAAAAAUUAGUUGGUGUGGUGGCACAUACCUGUAGUCCCUGCUACUGGGGAGGCUGAGGCAUGAGAAUUGCUUGAACCUGGGAGGUGGAGGUUGCAGUGAGCCAAGAUCGCGCCACUGCAUUCCAGCCUGGGCGACAGAGCAAGACUCCAUCUCAAAAAAAAAAAAAAAAAAAAAAAAAAAAAAAAGAAUAACUAGGGAGAAAACACCAUGAUGUGUUGCAUAAUAACAUUUCAGUCAUUCAUGGACCAAAUAUAAAAUGGGGUCCCAAAAAACUAUAAUACCGUGUUUUUACUGUACCUUUUCUAUGUUUAGACACAUUUAGAUACACAAAUACUUACCAUUGUGCUACAAUUGCCUAGUGUUCAGUAGCAUGCUGUACAGGUUUAUCCCUAGGAAGAAUAGACUAUCCCACACACCCUAGGCGUGUAGCAGGCUAUGCCAUCUAGGUUUGUGUGAGUACACUCUAUGCUGUUCAAACAGUGACCUCCACUGUUAGGUGAAGCAUGACUGUAUUUUGAGCCCAGGUCUCAGAUAUUGUAUGAAGUUUCAUAAUAUUAUGAGCUUUUACAAAUCAUUAAGAGAAAGACCAAUAAUCCAGUAGAAAACUGGGAAAAGGUGGCAUCUGCAGGGUAACACCAGGGCAGCACAGAAAUCUUGCUGGGAUGAGGAGCUGCAAACAUGUGUGGUCGACUUUUUGGCCUUCUGCCUCUUCUACUCUCAGGGAUGGGGGAUUACAACUAAAGAAGUUGUCUUUUGGCCGGGCGUGGUGGCUCACGCCUGUAAUCCCAGCACUUUGGGAGGCCGAGGCGGGUGGAUCACAAGGUCAGGAGAUCAAGACCAUCCUGGCUAACACGAUGAAACCCCGUCUCUACUAAAAAAUUCAAAAACAUUGGCCGGGCGAGGUGGCGGGCACCUGUAGUCCCAGCUACUCGGGAGGCUGAGGCAGAAGAAUUGUGUGAACCCGGGAGGCGGAGCUUGCAGUGAGCCCAGAUCGCGCCACUGCACUCCAGCCUGGGCGACAGAGGAAGGCUCCGUCUCAAAAAAAAAAAAAAAAGAAGAAGUUAUCUUUUCUCAGUGUUGCUUCUCCCUAAGGAUUUAAAGGGGAGACCUGGCCAGAGGAAUCAUCAACAGUGGAUUUGUGAUGACUGGAGUUCAUUUCCUUCUUUCUCAACUGUCCUGGAAGGAAAUGGACUAGUGCCUUACCUCUGACUCUUCCGCAGCACACACCCACCACCAGAGACAGUAACUGAGAUCUGCAGUAGCACAGAAACUUACAGGUUAGAAAAAUUAGACACCUAAGGAUUUCAUGACUCCAGACCUGUUUCCUUAGCAUAAUACCACACCAGUAGGAGAAAUACAACUUACGAAAUUUCUUUGUAAAUAAAUUCUAUAACAUUUUGGGUAAAAAUUUAUCAUAAAAAAAUUAUUAAAAGCAAUUGGGUUGGAAGGAAGUUCUGUCAAAAUACAAUCCAGGUGUGCAGUUCUCUGAUAAAUUUAGCAGUGGUUACUACUGAGGCAGUCUCAAAAAAAAGUGUAAAAGGACUUUAAGGGGUGAUGAAAAUUUUCUACAUUGCCUUUGUGGAGAUGGUUAUACAUUUGUCAAUACUCAUCAAUUUGUACAUUUAAAAGAGGUAAAUUUAUUGUAUGUAAAUUGUAUCUUAAUAAAACUGAUUAAAACAGACAUACAAACCCC
Molecule: long non-coding RNA, 5184 nt
Filed under: Homo sapiens (human)
Lineage: Eukaryota; Metazoa; Chordata; Mammalia; Primates; Hominidae
Description: HSALNT0391106
Source: RNAcentral